Molecule: unclassified non-coding RNA, 72 nt
Filed under: Pseudomonas poae
Lineage: Bacteria; Pseudomonadati; Pseudomonadota; Gammaproteobacteria; Pseudomonadales; Pseudomonadaceae
Source: RNAcentral
UGUGGGAGCUGGCUUGCCUGCGAUAGCGGUGGUGAAUUCACUACAGCCAUCGCAGGCAAGCCAGCUCCCACA